RNAcentral lists this unclassified non-coding RNA (344 nucleotides) under soil metagenome. Its description in RNAcentral is "partial contains 5.8S ribosomal RNA, internal transcribed spacer 2, and large subunit ribosomal RNA". The stretch from base 1 to 120 matches the Rfam family "5.8S ribosomal RNA", at positions 35 to 154 of the family's 154-position model. The record is from RNAcentral.
GAUGAAGAACGCAGCGAAAUGCGAUAAGUAGUGUGAAUUGCAGAAUUCCGUGAGUCAUCGAAUCUUUGAACGCACAUUGCGCCCACUGGUAUUCCGGUGGGCAUGCCUGUUCGAGCGUCAUUAUCCUCCCUCAAACCCCGGGUUUGGUGUUGGACCCAAGUUGUGUGAACAACUGGUCUCAAAGACAAUGACGGCGUCCGUGGGACCCUCGGUGCAACGAGCUUUUAGGAGCACGCAUCGAGUUGCAAGGACCUUCCGGGCCGGUCUCCUUUACCAUUUUACAAGGUUGACCUCGGAUCAGGUAGGAAUACCCGCUGAACUUAAGCAUAUCAAUAAGCGGAGGA